AUUGAACGCUAGCGGGAUGCUUUACACAUGCAAGUCGAACGGAGUGGCAGACGGGUGAGUAAUAUAUCGGAAUGUGCCCAGUAGCGGGGGAUAACUACUCGAAAGAGUGGCUAAUACCGCAAAAUAUUGGAGAGGCCGAUAUCUGAUUAGCUAGUGGGGGGGGUAAAGGCUCACCAAGGCAACGAGCCGUAGCUGGUUUGAGAGGAUGACCAGCCACACUGGGACUGAGACACGGCCCAGACUCCGACGGGAGGCAGCAGUGGGGAAUAUUGGACAAUGGGGGAAACCCUGAUCCAGCCAGCCCGCGUGUAUGAUGAAGGCCUUCGGGUUGUAAAGUACUUUUAGCAGAGAAGCGGUAUCUGCAGAAUAAGCACCGGCUAACUACGUGCCAGCAGCCGCGGUAAUUC
RNAcentral lists this ribosomal RNA (407 nucleotides) under uncultured bacterium. RNAcentral describes it as "partial 16S ribosomal RNA". It matches the Rfam family "Bacterial small subunit ribosomal RNA", at positions 30 to 526 of the family's 1533-position model. The record is from RNAcentral.